UACGUAGGGUGCGAGCGUUAUUCGGAAUUACUGGGCGUAAAGCGUGCGUAGGCGGUGAUGUAAGACCGAUGUGAAAUCCCCGGGCUCAACCUGGGAACUGCAUUUGUGACUGCAUCGCUGGAGUGCGGCAGAGGGGAAUGGAAUUCCGCGUGUAGCAGUGAAAUGCGUAGAUAUGCGGAGGAACACCGAUGGCGAAGGCGAUCCCCUGGGCCUGCACUGACGCUCAUGCACGAAAGCGUGGGGAGCAAACAGG
This 253-nucleotide ribosomal RNA is filed under the name uncultured bacterium. Its description in RNAcentral is "partial 16S ribosomal RNA". It matches the Rfam family "Bacterial small subunit ribosomal RNA", at positions 524 to 776 of the family's 1533-position model. The record is from RNAcentral.